GGCCUCGUAGCUCAGCUGGUAGAGCAUGCGCGUACAGAGCGCAGGCGACUUCCAUGCGUGGGUUCGAAUCCCACCGAGGCUA
Molecule: transfer RNA, 82 nt
Filed under: Echinostoma caproni
Lineage: Eukaryota; Metazoa; Platyhelminthes; Trematoda; Plagiorchiida; Echinostomatidae
Rfam family: tRNA
About the family: Transfer RNA (tRNA) molecules are approximately 80 nucleotides in length. Their secondary structure includes four short double-helical elements and three loops (D, anti-codon, and T loops). Further hydrogen bonds mediate the characteristic L-shaped molecular structure. tRNAs have two regions of fundamental functional importance: the anti-codon, which is responsible for specific mRNA codon recognition, and the 3' end, to which the tRNAs corresponding amino acid is attached (by aminoacyl-tRNA synthetases). tRNAs cope with the degeneracy of the genetic code in two manners: having more than one tRNA (with a specific anti-codon) for a particular amino acid; and 'wobble' base-pairing, i.e. permitting non-standard base-pairing at the 3rd anti-codon position.
Source: Rfam by way of RNAcentral